This 588-nucleotide ribosomal RNA is filed under the name Saccharomyces cerevisiae (brewer's yeast). RNAcentral's name for it is "partial large subunit ribosomal RNA". It matches the Rfam family "Eukaryotic large subunit ribosomal RNA", at positions 66 to 668 of the family's 3401-position model. Lineage: Eukaryota; Fungi; Ascomycota; Saccharomycetes; Saccharomycetales; Saccharomycetaceae. The record is from RNAcentral.
CCACGGGGGAUGCUUAGUACGGCGAGUGAAGCGGCAAAAGCUCAAAUUUGAAAUCUGGUACCUUCGGUGCCCGAGUUGUAAUUUGGAGAGGGCAACUUUGGGGCCGUUCCUUGUCUAUGUUCCUUGGAACAGGACGUCAUAGAGGGUGAGAAUCCCGUGUGGCGAGGAGUGCGGUUCUUUGUAAAGUGCCUUCGAAGAGUCGAGUUGUUUGGGAAUGCAGCUCUAAGUGGGUGGUAAAUUCCAUCUAAAGCUAAAUAUUGGCGAGAGACCGAUAGCGAACAAGUACAGUGAUGGAAAGAUGAAAAGAACUUUGAAAAGAGAGUGAAAAAGUACGUGAAAUUGUUGAAAGGGAAGGGCAUUUGAUCAGACAUGGUGUUUUGUGCCCUCUGCUCCUUGUGGGUAGGGGAAUCUCGCAUUUCACUGGGCCAGCAUCAGUUUUGGUGGCAGGAUAAAUCCAUAGGAAUGUAGCUUGCCUCGGUAAGUAUUAUAGCCUGUGGGAAUACUGCCAGCUGGGACUGAGGACUGCGACGUAAGUCAAGGAUGCUGGCAUAAUGGUUAUAUGCCGCCCGUCUUGACCCCCCCGAACCA